RNAcentral lists this long non-coding RNA (212 nucleotides) under Elaeis guineensis (African oil palm). Its description in RNAcentral is "long non-coding RNA (EGUI_LNC051458)". The record is from RNAcentral. Lineage: Eukaryota; Viridiplantae; Streptophyta; Magnoliopsida; Arecales; Arecaceae.
AGUUUUGAACAUAAGCUAAGUAUUAGGAUAGAUAAGUUUUUAUUUGUAGGAUAUCCUAAAGAGAGUAUGAGAUACAUCUUCUACCAUCCUAUUGAAUAAAAGAUUUUUGUUAGUAGGCAUACCAUUUUUAUGGAAAAAAAGUUUAUCCUAGAAGGGGACAGUGAAAAAAAAAUUAAACUUGGUGAAGUUCAAGACCUAUAAAUAGAUACACA